GCCAGGCAUGGUGGCGCAUGCCUAUAAUCCCAGCAACUUGGGAGGCUGAGGCAGGAGGAUCACUAGUUCAAAGCUGGCCUCAGCAACUUAGCAAGGCCCUAAGCAACUUAGUGAGACCCUGUCUUUA
This 127-nucleotide small RNA is filed under the name Marmota monax (woodchuck). The record is from RNAcentral. Lineage: Eukaryota; Metazoa; Chordata; Mammalia; Rodentia; Sciuridae.